AGGUGCGAUCAUACCUGCACUAAUGCACCGGAUCCCAUUAGAACUCCGCAGUUAAGCGUGCUUUGGCGAGAGUAGUAUUAGGAUGGGUGACCUCCUUGGAAGUCCUCGUGUUGCACCAC
Vigna angularis (adzuki bean) is the source of this 119-nucleotide non-coding RNA. NCBI's taxonomy places the organism in Eukaryota, Viridiplantae, Streptophyta, Magnoliopsida, Fabales, Fabaceae. The record is from Rfam.